AAGUCGUAACAAGGUUUCCGUAGGUGAACCUGCGGAGGGAUCAUUACAGAGUUGAAAAACUCCAACCCCUGUGAACCUACCUUUACUGUUGCUUCGGCGGAUUAUGGCCUCCGGGCCGGACGCCGCCGGAGGUUACAAACCCUGAAUUUUGGUGCAUCUCUGAGUACUAAACCAAAUAAUUAAAACUUUCAACAACGGAUCUCUUGGUUCUG
Molecule: unclassified non-coding RNA, 212 nt
Filed under: Gaeumannomyces radicicola
Lineage: Eukaryota; Fungi; Ascomycota; Sordariomycetes; Magnaporthales; Magnaporthaceae
Description: partial internal transcribed spacer region
Rfam family: Eukaryotic small subunit ribosomal RNA (bases 1-46)
Source: RNAcentral